This 314-nucleotide long non-coding RNA is filed under the name Brassica napus (rape). RNAcentral's name for it is "long non-coding RNA (BNAP_LNC001300)". Lineage: Eukaryota; Viridiplantae; Streptophyta; Magnoliopsida; Brassicales; Brassicaceae. The record is from RNAcentral.
CCAAAUCUACAACAUUUCUCUAUAAAAAUGAAAACUUUCCUUAAAUAGCAGGUUUUAGAAAAUUAUUUAAAAAAUACACCCUAUUGAUCAAAAAUUCUAAAAUAAUACUCAUCUUUCAACAAAAAUUCUUGAUAUCCUAAUUUGUAAAUCACAAUCCCAAAUCAACAAUAUUUCUCUAUAAAAAUGAAAACUUUCCUUAUAUUGCUGUUUUUAGAAAAUUAUUUAAAAAUAUAUUAUAUAGAUCAGAAAUUCUAAAAGAAUACACAUCUAACAACAAAAACACUAUUUAUCCCAAUUUCUAAAUUAAAAUCCCU